This is a long non-coding RNA of Carassius gibelio (silver crucian carp), 2220 nucleotides long. RefSeq lists it as uncharacterized. NCBI's taxonomy places the organism in Eukaryota, Metazoa, Chordata, Actinopteri, Cypriniformes, Cyprinidae. The transcript has 5 exons. The record is from RefSeq and is a predicted model, not a curated record.
GACACGGAGGAAAGGUAAGUCCUAUAAAUCUACUUUUAUUCAUAGAUUUUAACUGAUACAACGGUAAAUGCCAUCAAAGAGGAGUAGUGUUUUGUAUUUUUGUAGGUUUUCUCUUUCAAUUUAAUAAAUAAAUGCUCUGUUUGGUUAAUUAGCUCAAAAGCAGUCUCAGAGGUGGUCUAAGGUAACGUUAACUGUAAAAAUCGAAUAUAACCUUACCUGUUUUACAUUAUUUGAAAUUUAUCACUAUAAACUAUACAGUAUUAACUUUCUAAUUAUUCAAUUUUUAACCGUAGUAACGUUAAUUAGUUUGUUUGAAUACCUGCUGCUGGAGCUGGAUGAUGCUCAUGCUAUCCAUGCUGUGAACUUGAAUAUAAUCCGAUAUAACGUUAAAUAUAAAGUUUAACGUUAAUUAGACCGAGGCUGCCGAAAUCAUGUUCAGUGUAAGGUUAUGUAGGGUUAAUAAUUUCCCCUUUUCUCCCUCAAGUGGCAGGCUUGUAAAUUCUGUCAUCUGUUCAUUAUUGGUGUUAAUGGUGUUUUUCACAUGCAUGCUUUUUAAUGCUAGUUUAAUUCUCAAAUUGAUCUGAUACUUUCGUUUCACAAAAAGUAAACAAAUUGUUCACUUUUUUAGGGCCUGACAACCACCAGUUGAGUCCAUGAUUCAGGGAAGAGACAGUCUGGGCAGCAGCAACAAGACAACUAUUACAAGUAGAGAUGGUUUUCAAGAACUGGUACUAAUUUGGUUCCUGACUUGUUCAGUACUGAAAACAUUUACAUAAGACACAACCACAUAUCCUCCAAAUCAUCUCUGCGUGGAUGGCAGCAAGGAUCCAGGAUCAAGAGAUCAUUCUUCAUGGAGACUGUUCCACAGGAAGCAGUUUCUCCUGGAUUUGAGGGAAAGAUUAAAAACAAGGAGGUCUGGGAAUGACUGAAGGGAUCUGACAGCAGUGCGGGAAGGAAGUAAUCACCAGAAUCUCAGAGGAUGUUGACAGUGCAGGCUCAGGAUGAAGAAGAGGAGGAAGAACACGUUUAACAAUUUUCUCAUAAGCUUGCCAUGUGUUAUAAUAAAAACAAUGAACAUGGCUACAAUAAUAUGCUAAAUGUUAUUAAAAGAUUCCAGUUUGCAAGAAGUCUGAGUGUCUGACUCUACACUAGAGGAACUCUUUUCUGAAGAAGAUCAGGUGCUGAGAAGAAGCCUUGUUCUACAGCAAAACACUGCAUCAAGCCUCCUGUCCUUCCCUCAGAAGAGCCUGUCUUCUGCUGCUGGGGUAAGAAACACACUCUUCCUCUUCUCUAUCAGCUGUCCAGCACCUAACUCUGCCUCCUCAGCACUGUCUGAAAGAGUCUUCUCCACAGUCAGUAAUCAGAGAUCACAGAUUCUUCUGAGAAAGUCGAUAUGCUCAUUUUCUUAAAAAACUUUGUUUUUUCGGGUGGGACAAAUAAUACAGGAGAGAUGCUAGAAAUCUCUAUAUUGUUCAUUUUUCAUAUCUUUUCGCUUUAUGAAUGUUUUUCUUCUGAGAAGCUCAAAAAUUAUGGUUCUUUGGUAAUUGCUUUAUUGUUUAGGUUUAUCCUCUGAUAGUGAGCACAGAGCCCUGAUCAUGACAUGCAAGAAAAAGAAAGAAAUCAUGUCCAUGAUUUACUAAUUUGUUCCCUCGAUGUACUGAAACGUGCACGAUUACUUUUACAUUUCAUUGAUUUGCUAAAUCGUAUGCACAAUUUACUAAUUCGUUCUCUUGAUGUAUAAAUAGUGUACACGUUUUAGCAAAUCGAGGGAAUGAAAUAGAAAAUCGUGUGCAUGAAUUAGCCAAAAAAUUUUUCCUGCAUGUCAUGUAAUUAAAGCACAUCACCACCAGACAUUUAUACCAGGAGCCUCAUAUACAACGCUCACAGUUUUACUUUGUGCAGUAUCUCUGUGCAGUAUCUGCUGAAUUGUUUCAUAUCUAUUUAUCAUGUAUUUUUUGUUGCACUAAAUUAUGUUGUAUCAAUAAGUUUACUGAUAAUUAUUUAUAAUUUUCACUGAUAACGUCAUUAACCAUCUCCCCAUCCUUAAGACAAACAUUUUCUGUUGUUCAUAUUGUGUAAUCUAUGAAUUGAUGUGUUUAGUUUUCUGUGCUCAUAACUUAGUAACAUUUUGCAUGGUUAAAGAACAGGUGCAAUGUUCAAAAUGUUUUGGCUUCGUAUUUUUAGAAAGUAGUGCUGAAUAAAUAUUGAUUUGUGAAUGAA